GACGAACGCUGGCGGCGUGCUUAACACAUGCAAGUCGAACGGAAAGGCCCUGCUUUUGUGGGGUGCUCGAGUGGCGAACGGGUGAGUAACACGUGAGUAACCUGCCCUUGACUUUGGGAUAACUUCAGGAAACUGGGGCUAAUACCGGAUAGGAGCUCCUGCUGCAUGGUGGGGGUUGGAAAGUUUCGGCGGUUGGGGAUGGACUCGCGGCUUAUCAGCUUGUUGGUGGGGUAGUGGCUUACCAAGGCUUUGACGGGUAGCCGGCCUGAGAGGGUGACCGGCCACAUUGGGACUGAGGUACGGCCCAGACUCCUACGGGAGGCAGCAGGGGGGAAUAUUGCACAAUGGGCGGAAGCCUGAUGCAGCAACGCCGCGUGCGGGAUGACGGCCUUCGGGUUGUAAACCGCUUUCGCCUGUGACGAAGCGUGAGUGACGGUAAUGGGUAAAGAAGCACCGGCUAACUACGUG
RNAcentral lists this ribosomal RNA (468 nucleotides) under uncultured bacterium. RNAcentral describes it as "partial 16S ribosomal RNA". It matches the Rfam family "Bacterial small subunit ribosomal RNA", at positions 28 to 507 of the family's 1533-position model. The record is from RNAcentral.